This 467-nucleotide ribosomal RNA is filed under the name uncultured bacterium. Its description in RNAcentral is "bacterial SSU rRNA". It matches the Rfam family "Bacterial small subunit ribosomal RNA", at positions 329 to 793 of the family's 1533-position model. The record is from RNAcentral.
ACCCAGACUCCUACGGGAGGCAGCAGUGAGGAAUAUUGGUCAAUGGUCGGGAGACUGAACCAGCCAAGCCGCGUGAGGGAGGAAGGUACAGAGUAUCGUAAACCUCUUUUGUCAGGGGACAAAGACUGGGACGCGUCCCCGGAUGAGUGUACCUGAAGAAAAAGCAUCGGCUAACUCCGUGCCAGCAGCCGCGGUAAUACGGAGGGUGCGGGCGUUAAUCGGAAUUACUGGGCGUAAAGCGCUCGUAGGCGGUAUGUCAAGUCAAGGGUGAAAUCCCCGCGCUCAACGUGGGAACUGCCUUUGAAACUGGCAAACUGGAGUGUGUGAGAGGAUAGUGGAAUUCCAGGUGUAGGAGUGAAAUCCGUAGAUAUCUGGGGGAACAUCAGUGGCGAAGGCGACUAUCUGGCACAUAACUGACGCUGAGGAGCGAAAGCGUGGGUAGCAAACAGGAUUAGAUACCCGAGUAA